Bradysia coprophila is the source of this 601-nucleotide long non-coding RNA. RefSeq lists it as uncharacterized. The record is from RefSeq and is a predicted model, not a curated record. Lineage: Eukaryota; Metazoa; Arthropoda; Insecta; Diptera; Sciaridae.
CGAAUGUCUACAACCACGUAUUGCAUGUACCGAUAAGCAGUGAUGAUAUGUUACCCGACGCAACGCCUGCCUGUGAUAAUUAAUUUGACUGAACGACCGUGUUUUUAAUAAUUCUUUUUAUAAACUUUAAUCUAAAAGUACAAGUCUCAUAAGUUAUUUUAGUGUGUGUCCAUGCUUAGUUGAAAUGUUGAACCCGAUGUAAUUAGUGAGAUAAUUCAAGAUAAUGAACACACACGUAAAAGUCAGAAUUAGAAUGAGAACGUACUAUGACGAAGACAAUGUAAUUGUUUAACACAUAGGUCAACAACCAUUGAUAAUGACUGUGAAUUACAGUCGAAAUAUUUGGUGACCAUUAAAUGAAACUUGAGCAAUUCCGAUAUACCAAUCUUUAAUUUACAAUUGCUGCUCAUUACCUACGAAAAUUUAUAUUUACACACUUGUCACAAAGAUAGUUACCGAUUACCGAUGGGUGCUCAAAUACAAAUUUGUGAGUUUGCUUUUAACACAAAAUUGUUACUUCAUGUAAUGAGUUACUUUCGCAGCUUCCAAUGUAAAAUGUUAAACAAAUAUAUUUAAAAGCGAAAAAAGGCUGCAAGGCGCA